UGUAACUUGAUUCAAUCAAGGGAUUGAAUCAAGGGGUUAAGGUUUGUUGGUGAGCCAAAGGAAAAACCAACGGUGUUAAGGUUUGUUGGUGAGCCAAAGGAAAAAACCAACGUUGUAAGGUUGUGGUUGGUGAGCCUUUGGGGAAAACCAACUGGGUUGAUUGUGAACCCGGAAAACAAUCAUUGUAAGGUUGUGGUUGGUGAGCCUUUGGGAAAACCAACUGGGUUGGAUUGUGAGCCCGUGAAAACAAUCGGUUGGUUCUAGUCGGUGAGCCUGUGAAAACCGACCGAGUUCGUUGUGAUCUCGCAAAACAACAAGUUGGGUUGUGAGCUUGUAAAACAACUGGCUGUAAUCUGAGAGAUUAUAGUGAAAUUCCCAAGAGGUCUUGGGGAGUGGAUGUAGGUGCUGGGGUGCACCGAACCACUAUACAUCUUUGUGUUUGUGAUGCUUUAUCUCUUGUGUUUCAUGCCUUACAUUCAUACUUGAUUGUGUAAUAUCUCUAGCUUUGUUUUCUAUUAAUUUAUAAGU
RNAcentral lists this long non-coding RNA (528 nucleotides) under Phoenix dactylifera (date palm). Its description in RNAcentral is "long non-coding RNA (PDAC_LNC002998)". Lineage: Eukaryota; Viridiplantae; Streptophyta; Magnoliopsida; Arecales; Arecaceae. The record is from RNAcentral.